CGUGCCGUGAGGUGUUGGGUUCAGUCCCGCAACGAGCGCAACCCUCGCCCUUUGUUGCCAUCGGGUAAAGCCGGGCACUCUAAGGGGACUGCCAGCGACAAGUUGGAGGAAGGAGAGGAUGACGUCAAGUCAUCAUGGCCUUUAUGCCUAGGGCCACACACGUGCAACAAUGGCCGGUACAGACGGAGGCAAUGCCGAGAGGCGGAGCAAACCCGAGAAAACCGGUCCCAGUUCGGAUUGAGGUCUGCAACUCGACCUCAUGAAGUCGGAAUCGCUAGUAAUCGCAUAUCAGAACGAUGCGGUGAAUACGUUCCCGGGCCUUGUACACACCGCCCGUCACACCACGAAAGUUUGUAGUACCCGAAGUCGGUGCCUUAACCUCGCAAGAGGAGAGAGCCGCCAAGGUAUGGCCGAUGAUUGGGGUGAAGUCGUAAC
This 435-nucleotide ribosomal RNA is filed under the name uncultured bacterium. RNAcentral's name for it is "bacterial SSU rRNA". It matches the Rfam family "Bacterial small subunit ribosomal RNA", at positions 1061 to 1492 of the family's 1533-position model. The record is from RNAcentral.